GACAGAGGGGGCAAGCGUUGCUCGGAAUUACUGGGCGUAAAGGGCGCGUAGGCGGGAUGGCAAGUCGGUCGUGAAAUCCCUCGGCUCAACCGAGGAACGUCGAUCGAUACUGCUGUUCUUGAGGAUUGCAGAGGAGACUGGAAUUCCCGGUGUAGCGGUGAAAUGCGCAGAUAUCGGGAGGAACACCAAUGGCGAAGGCAGCUUGCUGGGACGGUACUGACGCUGAGACGCGAAAGCGUGGGGAGCGAACAGG
RNAcentral lists this ribosomal RNA (253 nucleotides) under uncultured bacterium. RNAcentral describes it as "partial 16S ribosomal RNA". It matches the Rfam family "Bacterial small subunit ribosomal RNA", at positions 524 to 776 of the family's 1533-position model. The record is from RNAcentral.